ACGGAGGGUGCAAGCGUUGUUCGGAAUUAUUGGGCGUAAAGCGCGCGUAGGCGGACUGUUAAGUCUGAUGUGAAAUCCCUCGGCUCAACCGAGGAACUGCAUUGGAUACUGGCAGCCUUGAGUCUCGGAGAGGAAAGCGGAAUUCCCAGUGUAGAGGUGAAAUUCGUAGAUAUUGGGAGGAACACCAGCGGCGAAGGCGGCUUUCUGGACGAUGACUGACGCUGAGGUGCGAAAGCAUGGGUAGCAAACAGG
This 252-nucleotide ribosomal RNA is filed under the name uncultured bacterium. Its description in RNAcentral is "partial 16S ribosomal RNA". It matches the Rfam family "Bacterial small subunit ribosomal RNA", at positions 525 to 776 of the family's 1533-position model. The record is from RNAcentral.